UGAGUACGAGACGCUAAGGCGUUGAAGCAGUCUAUGUCAGACUUCCAAGAAAAGCUCGCAAUGUCAUAAACAAAAGAUGCCUGUACCAUAACCGACACAGGUGGGUAGGUAGAGUAUACUAAGGGGCGCGAGAUAACUCUCUCUAAGGAACUCGGCAAAAUGACUCCGUAACUUCGGGAGAAGGAGUGCCUUAUUUUUAUAAGGUUGCAAUAACAAGAUCCAAGCAACUGUUUACCAAAAACACAGGUCUCCGCUAAGUCGUAAGACGAUGUAUGGGGGCUGACGCCUGCCCAGUGCCAGAAGGUUAAAGAAGUUGGUUAGUUUCGGCGAAGCUGAUGACUGAAGCCCUGGUGAACGGCGGCCGUAACAAUAACGGUCCUAAGGUAGCGAAAUUCCUUGUCGGGUAAGCUCCGACCCGCACGAAAGGCGUAAUGAUUUGGAUACUGUCUCGGAGAGGGGCUCGGUGAAAUAGACUUGUCUGUGAAGAUGCGGACUACCUGCACCUGGACAGAAAGACCCUAUGAAGCUUUACUGUAACUUGAGAUUGAAAUUGGACUUUAUUUGCGCAGUAUAGGUGGGAGACGUUGAGAAUAUUCUUGCGGGAAUAUUGGAGUCAUCAGUGAGAUACCACUCUUGUAAUGUUAGAUUUCUAACUUUGUAUCAUGAUCUGGUCAAAGGACAGUUUCAGGCGGGCAGUUUGACUGGGGCGGUCGCCUCCCAAACGGUAACGGAGGCGCACAAAGGUUUCCUCUGAACGUGUAGAAAUCGUAUCUAGAGUGUAAAGGCAUAAGGAAGCUUGACUGUGAGACCUACAAGUCGAGCAGGGACGAAAGUCGGUCUUAGUGAUCUGACGGUGCUGAGUGGAAAGGCCGUCACUCAACGGAUAAAAGUUACUCUAAGGAUAACAGGCUGAUCUCCCCCAAGAGUUCACAUCGACGGGGAGGUUUGGCACCUGAUGUCGGCUCAUCGCAUCCUGGGGCGGUAGUACGUCCCAAGGGUUGGGCUGUUCGCCCAGGAAAGCGGUACGCGAGCUGGGUUCAGAACGUCGUGAGACAGUUCGGUCCAUAUCCGGUGUAGGCGUUAGAAUAUUGAGAGGAGCCUUCUUUAGUACGAGAGGACCGAGAAGGACAUACCUCUGGUGUACCAGUUAUCGUGCCAACGGUAAACGCUGGGUAGCUAUGUAUGGAGUGGAUAACCGCUGAAAGCAUCUAAGUGGGAAGCCCACCUCAAGAUAAGUAUUCUC
Molecule: ribosomal RNA, 1243 nt
Filed under: metagenome
Description: bacterial LSU rRNA
Rfam family: Bacterial large subunit ribosomal RNA
Source: RNAcentral